GGAUCCGAGGAUUAUUGGAUGAUCGCCAUAAUAUUGGAGAUGCUGGUUCGAUUCCAGCCGGAUUCA
This 66-nucleotide transfer RNA is filed under the name Bacteriophage sp. RNAcentral describes it as "tRNA-OTHER". It matches the Rfam family "tRNA". Rfam says of the family: Transfer RNA (tRNA) molecules are approximately 80 nucleotides in length. The record is from RNAcentral. RNAcentral also lists the same sequence under 1 other name.